RNAcentral lists this small RNA (22 nucleotides) under Arabidopsis thaliana (thale cress). Its description in RNAcentral is "ATSL213460". Lineage: Eukaryota; Viridiplantae; Streptophyta; Magnoliopsida; Brassicales; Brassicaceae. The record is from RNAcentral.
AAAACAAAAACCAAAAAAAACA